CACCAGGUUGAUUCUGCCUGACGUAUGCGCUUGUCUUGAAGAUUUAGCCAUGCAAGCUAGCGAAGCCUUAUGGUGGAGCGGCGGACAGCUCAGUAAUACAGUUAUUAUUUACUCGUAGUAUGUAUACGGAUAACCAUGGUAAGCUAUGGCUAAUACGUGAACAGGUUAUUGCAUAGAUGAAACAGCGAUAACUGAGAGAGCAAUCGACUACGACUAAGUUUCUGGCCUAUCAGCUAGAUGGUAAGGUAAUGGCUUACCAUGGCUAUAACGGGUAACGGGAAAUCAGUGUUUGAUUCCGGAGAGGGAGCCUGAGAAAUAGCUCCCACGUCCAAGGACGGCAGCAGGCGCGAAACUUACCCAAUUCCUUAGCGGGAGAGGUAGUGAAGAGACAUGAAGUUCUACUUAGAGACUGUACGGUAAAAUAGUACAGGAUCUACUGGAGGGCAAGUCUGGUGCCAGCAGCCGCGGUAAUUCCAGCUCCAGUAGCGCAUAUAAUAGUUGCUGCAGUUAAAACGUCCGUAGUUGAUCACAAGGUAUUCUUCUGCAUAGUAUUUGUGGAGUGUAUCUCGAUACUGUGAGAAAAAUAUGGUUCUCAAAGCGGAUUACGUGAGUAAUUUAGCAUGGGACAUGGUGAAUAUAGGAACAGAUGAUGGCAAUAGUAUUCAGCAGUUAGAGGUGAAAAUCGUUGACCUGCUGAGGACUCUCUGAAGCGAAAGCGAUUGUCAAGUAUGUCUCCGUUAAUAAAGGACUUAAGCUGGAGUAUCGAAGAUGAUUAGAUACCGUCGUAGUUCCAGCUGUAAACUAUGCCGACUAGGUGAGGCCGUCAGGCUGCGCCUUAGGAGAAAUCAAAGUUUUUGGGCUCUGGGGAUAGUAUGGAUGCAAAUCUGAAACUUAAAGAAAUUGACGGAAGGACACCACAAGGAGUGGAUUGUGCGGCUUAAUUUGACUCAACGCGGGGCAACUUACCAGGGCCGAAUGCAUAGGAGAUCGGCUGUCUGAGAGGGUACCCGAGAUUAUGCAGGAGGUGGUGCAUGGCCGUUUUCAACACGUGGGGUGGCCUGUCUGGUUAAUUCCGUAAACGCGUGAGGCCUGGGAAGCAAUUCAUUGCUUGACGGAUAGCGGCAAGCUAUAGGAAGACAGGCUAUAACAGGUCAGUGAUGCCCCUAGAUGUUCUGGGCUGCACGCGCAAUACAAUGGUAUAGUGAGACUAUGUACUGAAAAGUAUGCUUUAAGCUAUAUCGAAUCUGGGAUAAGCUCUUGUAAAUGAGUUUUGAACGAGGAAUUCCUAGUAAUCGCAGGUCAUAAUGCUGCGAUGAAUGCGUCCCUGUUCUUUGUACACACCGCCCGUCACUAUCUUAGAUGGAUGUAUCGGUGAAAUGGCUGGACGAAAGAAAGGCAGUUGAACCUAUACAAUUAGAUAAGAUAUAAGUCGUAACAAGGCUGCUAUAGGUGAACCUGUGGCAGGAUCAUUA
Molecule: ribosomal RNA, 1472 nt
Filed under: Pseudonosema cristatellae
Lineage: Eukaryota; Fungi; Microsporidia; Pseudonosematidae
Description: Microsporidia small subunit ribosomal RNA
Rfam family: Microsporidia small subunit ribosomal RNA
Source: Rfam by way of RNAcentral